GACUUGUAUAUGUUAUAUAUGAAACACGUAUAUGAAAUAUUAUGAAUAUAUUCUUUAGAUCGGAGCAAAUAUUUUGACCAAUCAAAUUAGGGAGCCAUUCCUAAGUAAAAUUCAAAAGUAAAUGAUAGUUAAAUCUAUAUAAUUCACUACAAACAGUUAUACACGAAGUGUAAGAUGCGGAUGAUGAAGAUUUGCUGCACGUCACAUCAAUCAGAGUAAUGCUUGUGAUUACCUUAUUAGUCAUGACUUAGUAAAUCUUGAUGAAAAAAACUGUUUGGUGAAAAGACUUUUAGCAAAAAAAAAUCUUAUUAAACUGUCUAAAUGAUUACUUCUAUAAAAAAGGUGUAGUGCAUACAA
Long non-coding RNA from Hydra vulgaris (swiftwater hydra), 357 nucleotides. RefSeq lists it as uncharacterized. The record is from RefSeq and is a predicted model, not a curated record. NCBI's taxonomy places the organism in Eukaryota, Metazoa, Cnidaria, Hydrozoa, Anthoathecata, Hydridae.